AUUGAACGCUGGCGGCAUGCUUUACACAUGCAAGUCGAACGGUAACAGGCCUUCGGGUGCUGACGAGUGGCGAACGGGUGAGUAAUGCAUCGGAACGUGCCCAGAGGUGGGGGAUAACGCAGCGAAAGCUGUGCUAAUACCGCAUGUGAUCUGAGGAUGAAAGCGGGGGACCAGGCAGCAAUGUUUGGCCUCGCGCCUUUGGAGCGGCCGAUGUCAGAUUAGGUAGUUGGUGGGGUAAAGGCCUACCAAGCCGACGAUCUGUAGCUGGUCCGAGAGGACGACCAGCCACACUGGGACUGAGACACGGCCCAGACUCCUACGGGAGGCAGCAGUGGGGAAUUUUGGACACUGGGCGCAAGCCUGAUCCAGCAAUGCCGCGUGCGGGAAGAAGGCCUUCGGGUUGUAAACCGCUUUUGUACGGAACGAAAAGGCUCUGGCUAAUACCUGGGGCUGAUGACGGUACCGUAAGAAUAAGCACCGGCUAACUACGUG
This 492-nucleotide ribosomal RNA is filed under the name uncultured bacterium. RNAcentral's name for it is "partial 16S ribosomal RNA". It matches the Rfam family "Bacterial small subunit ribosomal RNA", at positions 30 to 507 of the family's 1533-position model. The record is from RNAcentral.